RNAcentral lists this unclassified non-coding RNA (223 nucleotides) under uncultured Russula. RNAcentral's name for it is "sequence contains ITS2". Lineage: Eukaryota; Fungi; Basidiomycota; Agaricomycetes; Russulales; Russulaceae. The record is from RNAcentral.
AAUUCUCAACCCAACCCCUUUUUUUGUGAAAGCAGGGUUUUUUGGGCUUGGACUUUGGAGGUCUUUGCUGGUCCCCCCUGGGAUCGGCUCCUCUUGAAUGCAUUAGUGGAGCUUUCCAUCGUCUGCUCUGCCUCUCGGUGUGAUAAUUCAUCUGCGCCGACGUGAGAGAAGAAAAGAAAGGUGCCGCUUCGAACCGUCUCGUUCAGAGACCUUUUUGAACCCU